Oryza sativa Japonica Group (Japanese rice) is the source of this 697-nucleotide long non-coding RNA. RefSeq lists it as uncharacterized. Lineage: Eukaryota; Viridiplantae; Streptophyta; Magnoliopsida; Poales; Poaceae. The record is from RefSeq and is a predicted model, not a curated record.
CCCCGCCGGGCUCAACCGAGCCGCUGUCUUCCCGCUGCCACCACCGGUGGGAAGGGAGGCGGUGGUGGCUGGAGAAGAUGAGGUCUAGAGAUGAAGAUGAGGAUGAGGAGGAGGGAAAGCAGUGGUGGCAAGGUGGCACGCCGACAUCGAAAAUUGGUUUUUGCUCACGGCCUCUUAAGAAGUCCGCUUGUAAACAAUGGAUUUUCGCUGGUAGCUUCUUAAGAGGUUCGCUUAUAAAAAUAUUACUAUUUGCUGGCUUAUUAAGAGGCCGUUCGCUGGAGUGAAUUAACCAUUCUAUGGAGAGGCCACAAAAGCGAUGCAGGCAAGUGGGGAUGUGAUCAUCAGGAAAAAACAUCUGGUGUAUACGGAACUGGUGUAUACGGAACAGGAUGCAAACCCCAGUCCACACGGUUCACGAAUCACGAUCCCGACACCAUUGCUCUAGAGUGGUAUCUACGGAUAAAUCUUGUCUAACUUUUUUUACAAAACUAGAAAGGUGGUAGCCCGCGCAUAUGCGCAGGCAUCUUUUUAUUUGAUGUUGCUUGAAAUUUUAUUUUGGAUGUUUUAUAUGUGGGUUACUUUUUCUUGAAAUUCUUUGACUCUCUUCUAAAUUUGUUUUUGUCAAUAAUUAGUUUGGGGUUGCUUUGAACAUUGUAAGUAUAUUGGUUAUGAUACUCUUUGAUCUACCCUUGCAACA